CGGGGUGGAGUAACGCGUGGAUAACCUGCCUCACACUGGGGGAUAACAGUUAGAAAUGACUGCUAAUACCGCAUAAGCGCACAGUACCGCAUGGUACAGUGUGAAAAACUCCGGUGGUGUGAGAUGGAUCCGCGUCUGAUUAGCCAGUUGGCGGGGUAACGGCCCACCAAAGCGACGAUCAGUAGCCGACCUGAGAGGGUGACCGGCCACAUUGGGACUGAGACACGGCCCAA
Molecule: ribosomal RNA, 233 nt
Filed under: uncultured bacterium
Lineage: Bacteria
Description: partial 16S ribosomal RNA
Rfam family: Bacterial small subunit ribosomal RNA
Source: RNAcentral